UGUUCUGCAUUCUCAGGAUCCUGUUUGCACCUUUACUUCUAACCUCGCUUCUUUCUGCUGGAGCCUCUGUUCUGUCUUUCAUGGUUCUCACCUUACUAUCUUCACCCUCGGGCUCCAAACUCAGUUUCUCUGCUCCCACAUCCUCCCAGCCCAUUUCAUGACUGCAGUGAACAGUGCCAUGCAUUAAUUCCACCCAUGCAGAGAGUUGUUUAAGGCCGUUCAGUGUAUCAUGAUCGCGUACUAAAUUCUGUUCUGUGUCUCUCUUGAUCUCUUCCCAUCUCACAGCUCAGUGGGGUUGAAGGAUUGCCGGGGUUCCUCUAAUUAGCGGCUUAAGCACUGGAGAAUCUACCAGAGCAGAAAAGAAGGGAUUGUCCUUUUCUCGACCACUGUAGUUGGGAUCACCCCAGCUGUGGGACCCAAUGGUGUGACAAAGCGAAGCCUCUGGUCUGCUGAACACUGUGACUGGCACAGAGAGGCCCUGUGACCAUUGUGGAUCAUACUGACAGCUGCACUCGGUGAGGUUUCCCAGAGCUGAUCAGCAUGUGGAAUUCCCCACCUGCCCCAACCAUGCCCUGAUCUCCAAACUCCUUUGCAUCAUUGUGUCUCACAGUCCCAGGCGUCUCGCUGUGGCGCUGCUGGUAAGAGGAAUGUACACAAGUUGCAGCCCCUGCAUGUGCGGGGCAGAGCCUUCAUUAUUGUAUUGUGCUCAAUGGGUGGCAGCAAGGAACUGUGGUGCUCCUGGGCAGUGCCAGAACUGCACGGAGAUCUGUGGCUCUUCAUGAAGUCAGCAAGAAAUGGAAAACUGGAUUUCCUGGAAUGCCCUGGAACCUGACUUUGCUGACUGGUAACUCACUGCCCCUACGGGUAAGGGCAAUGUACACCUACCAGUGUUUACCCAUGACAUAGCGUGGCUCCACGUAAUGCUGCCAGAGAUUGUUACUGUGCUUAAAGUUUCCCUACAGGCUGCUGGUCCUCUUCCUCCUGCUUUCUCCUUGCCUCUUGCCUGUCUAAUCUAAUCCAGACUAGUCACCAUAAGAGUGCAACUCAGAGUGCAGUACAACUCAGAACCCAUUGAGACCCUGCACUUGCAGACCCUACACCUACACUGUAGUGCUGCUGCUCCCACCCCUGUCCCUCUUGUCUCCUGGGCACCAUUUCUAAACUAGCUCUGCAGCUCUGGAACUCGAUGCUUUGAUGAAGGAAGGCCCUCAGACUCAACUUAGUUGACCGGCUGCCCUGAUAGGUAAGGGCAAUGUACACCCACCAGUGUUUACCUAUUAUGUAGCAUGGCUCAACCUAGUGUUCCCAGAGCUCGUUACUGUACUUGAGGGUGCCCUACAGGCUGCCUGUCCAUUAUGUCAUAUGUUCUCCUUGUCUUGGGCCUUUCCCUGCGGUGUUUUCCUUGCUUUUGCCUUGGCUUUCUCUGGCUGUUUUUGUUGCCCUCGCCCGGGCCUUCCUUGCGAUGUUCUCCUUGGUGUGUUCACGUUGGCCCUUGCCCGGGCCUUUCUUGGCACAUUCUCGUUGGCCUCAUUUUGACUUUCCCUUGGGCAUUCUAAUUGCCUUUGCCUUGCUGUUCCCUUGGGUUUUCUUCUUGCCUUUUCUUCACUGGGAUUGGCUAAGAGGCACCAUUAAUGUUAAUCUUGAUCUCAACCCUGUGCUUAAUGGGAGCUCUAGAGAUAAUUAUAUUAACCCACAAUGUAAUUUGAAACCUUACUCUUAACCCGAUGCUAAAAAUGUCGAUAACGCUCCAUGUAGCAGUAAAAACAAAGCUUGGAGUUUUCUAAGUAACCGUAACCCUAAUCAUAAUGUAGGAAACUACUGUUGAACUAACCGUAACCUUAAUCCUAAAACUAGCUUAGAUUAUAACCCUAAUGCUCCUAAAAAAGCAUGGUUAUGUCCUCAUCCUAAAAAUCCACUAAAACUAAUCCAGACAAGACACUGUAAAAAUAACAUUAACAGUAACCUCAGUCCUAAAAUAAUGCUAACUGUAACUGUAAUUACCCUAUUUAUUAAUGUGUAAAUCCUCUUUUGAAAACAUAGCCUACUGUAAUGGUAAUAGGCCAAGUGUUUAGUAAUGCUGAAUGCACUGGCCACUCUAACCACUGUAGAUGACAACUCUGAACAUGCACUGAGACCCUGCACUUCCAGAUCCUACACAUACACUGUAGCGCUGCUGCCCCCUCCCCUCUCCCUUCCGUUUCCCUGGCACCAUUUCCAAGCUAGCUCUGCAGCUGUGGGACUCGAUGGCUCAAAGAAGGUCAGCCCUCGGUCUGCUGCUCGCUGGGACUGGUACGGAAUGGCUCUGUGGUGGGUCCAGUAGAGCCUGUGGAUCGUACCGUCAGCUGUACUCGGUGAGUUUCCCAGAGCUGCUGAGCUCGCAGGCUUCCCCGCCUGCCCCAACCGUGCCAUGAUCUCCAAACUCCUUUGCAUCAUCGUGUCUCACAGUCCCAGGCAUCUCGCUGUGGUGCUGCUGGUAAGAGGAAUGUGCACAAGGUGCAGCUCCUGCGUGUGUGGGGCAGAGCCUUCAUUAUUGCAUUGUGCUCAACAGGUGACAGCGGAGAACUGCGGUGCUCCUCUGCGGUGCCAGAACUGCAUGGAGAUCUGUGGCUCUUCAUGAAGUCAGCAAGAAAUGGAAAGCUGCAUUUCCUGGAAUGCUCAGAACCCACCUUGUUUGUCUGGUAACUGGUUGCCCAUACAGAAGAAAGAGAAAACAGAACGCCAGGACGGGGCUGGGGAGCCGCGCCGAUCCCAUCGGAUGUGUUCUUCCCGUGGUCUCAGCUGCCACCGCGUGGCCAAUCCGCAGAACUGCCGCUGCCUGUGCUUGGGGACCCAGGCAGCAUGAUGCAUGCGCGCCAAAAAGCGGAAGAGGCGUACCUACGUUCUGACUGCUCUGCGCAGCGAAUCCGCCAAUCUCUAUUGUGAUUAGUCCUCCAGGCAGUAGUGCGCAUGCGCGCCGGAAAGUGGAAGUGGCAUGUCUACGAUCUGACCGCUCUGCGCAGCUAAUCUGCAGAUCUCUACUGUGAUUAGACCUCCAGGCAGUAGCACGCAUGCGCACCGAAAAGCGGAAGUGGCGUACAUGCAUUCUGACCGCUCUGCGCAGCUAAUCCGCCGAUCUCUAUUGUGAUUAGACAUCCAGGCAGUAGUGCACAUGCGCACCAGAAAGCGGAAGUGGCGUAUCUGCGUUCUGACCGCUCUGCGCAGCUAUUCUGCCAAUCUUUACUGUGAUUAGUCCUCCAGGCAGUAGCGCGCAUGCGUGCUGGAAAGCAGAAGUGGUCUACAUCCGUUCUGACCGCUUUUCGCGGCUAAUCCGCCAAUUUCUAUUGUGAUUAGUCCUCCAGGCAGCAUGACGCAUGCGCGCCGAAAAGCGGAAGUGGCGUAUCUACGUUCUGACCGCUCUGCGCAGCUAAUCUGCCAAUCUCUAUUGUGAUUAGUCCUCCAGGCAGUAGCGCGCAUGCGCUAAAUCCCUUGUUAUGACCCCCAAAAUUCCCAUUUCUUACCGCAGUAUCCCAUUUUUAACCCCCAAAUCCCUGCUUUUAAAACACCAAACCUCCAUUUGACACCCCAAAAUCCAUUCUUAUCAGCAAAAUUACCAUUUUUCACCCCCCAAAUCCCCAUUUGAACCCCAAAAUCACCAUUUUUCAUACCAAAAAUCCCUCUUUUUCACCCCCCAAACCCCAUUUUUCAUUGCAAAUAUCCCCAUUUCUAUUCCUAAUCUCCCUUAAAGAGAUGUACAUUGAU
Numida meleagris (helmeted guineafowl) is the source of this 3738-nucleotide long non-coding RNA. RefSeq lists it as uncharacterized. The transcript has 5 exons. The record is from RefSeq and is a predicted model, not a curated record. NCBI's taxonomy places the organism in Eukaryota, Metazoa, Chordata, Aves, Galliformes, Numididae.